RNAcentral lists this long non-coding RNA (253 nucleotides) under Arachis ipaensis. RNAcentral describes it as "long non-coding RNA (AIPA_LNC000154)". The record is from RNAcentral. Lineage: Eukaryota; Viridiplantae; Streptophyta; Magnoliopsida; Fabales; Fabaceae.
AGUUCAUCAACCUCGUCAUCACUCUCAGUCUCGCGUCGUCCUCGUCGUCACCCCCCUGCCAACCUCGUCGUCAUCACUCUCAGUCUCGCGUGGUCCUCGUCGGCUCUGUUCAUCAAGUCGCGGCCUCACCUCUUGUCGUCACUCUCAGUCUCAGGUGGUCCUCAUCAGCGCUGUUCAUCAACUAGCUCAGAAAGGUCAGAACGCUUCUGCAGCCUCACCUCUCCGUCACUCACAGUCUCUGCCUCAGUUCAUC